GUGCUUGCUUUGGCAACACAUGUACUAAAAUUGGAAUGAUACAGAGAUUAGCAUGGCCCCUGUCCAAGGAUGACACACAUUUGUGCAGUAUUCCAUUAAGAA
This is a small nuclear RNA of Callithrix jacchus (white-tufted-ear marmoset), 102 nucleotides long. The record is from Ensembl. NCBI's taxonomy places the organism in Eukaryota, Metazoa, Chordata, Mammalia, Primates, Cebidae.